This 584-nucleotide ribosomal RNA is filed under the name Xenostrongylogethes luculentus. RNAcentral describes it as "partial large subunit ribosomal RNA". It matches the Rfam family "Bacterial large subunit ribosomal RNA", at positions 1923 to 2734 of the family's 2925-position model. Lineage: Eukaryota; Metazoa; Arthropoda; Insecta; Coleoptera; Nitidulidae. The record is from RNAcentral.
UUAAAUGGCCGCGGUAUUUUGACCGUGCAAAGGUAGCAUAAUCAAUAGUUUUUUAAUUGAAAGCUGGAAUGAAGGGUUUAAUGAAAAAAUGACUGUCUUUAUAAUAUUUUAUUAGAAUUUUAUUUUUAAGUUAAAAAGCUUAAAUUUAAUUUAAAGACGAGAAGACCCUUUAGAGUUUUAUAAUAAUUAAAUUUUUAAUUUUUUUUUAGUAUUAAUUAUAAAAAACUUUAGUUUUAUUUAGUUGGGGCGACUAAAAAAUUAAAUAAACUUUUUUUUAUAUUUAACAUUUAUAUAUGAUUUUAUGAUCCAUUAAUUAUGAUUAUAAGAAUAAAUUACCUAAGGGAUAACAGCGUUAUUUUUUUUAAGAGUUCUUAUCGAAAAAAAAGAUUGCGACCUCGAUGUUGGAUUAAAAUUAAAUUAUGGUGGAGAGGCUAUAACUUUAGGUCUGUUCGACCUUUAAAAUUUUACAUGAUCUGAGUUUAAACCGGUUUAAGCCAGGUUGGUUUCUAUCUUAAAUCUAUUAUAAUAUUUUAGUACGAAAGGACCAAGUCUUGUACUCAUAGUAUUUAGUUUUGAAUUAAAUU